This 87-nucleotide transfer RNA is filed under the name Phaeodactylibacter xiamenensis. It matches the Rfam family "tRNA". Rfam says of the family: Transfer RNA (tRNA) molecules are approximately 80 nucleotides in length. Their secondary structure includes four short double-helical elements and three loops (D, anti-codon, and T loops). RNAcentral also lists the same sequence under 1 other name. The record is from Rfam by way of RNAcentral. Lineage: Bacteria; Pseudomonadati; Bacteroidota; Saprospiria; Saprospirales; Haliscomenobacteraceae.
GGUGACGUGGGUGAGUGGCUGAAACCACCAGUUUGCUAAACUGGCAUACCUUCACGGGUAUCGGGGGUUCGAAUCCCCCCGUCACCG